RNAcentral lists this ribosomal RNA (263 nucleotides) under uncultured bacterium. RNAcentral describes it as "partial 16S ribosomal RNA". It matches the Rfam family "Bacterial small subunit ribosomal RNA", at positions 524 to 777 of the family's 1533-position model. The record is from RNAcentral.
UACGUAGGGUGCGAGCGUUGUCCGGAAUUAUUGGGCGUAAAGAGCUUGUAGGCGGUUUGUCGCGUCUGCUGUGAAAAUCCGGGGCUCAACCCCGGACUUGCAGUGGGUACGGGCAGACUAGAGUGUGGUAGGGGAGACUGGAAUUCCGUGGUGAUAGCGGUGAAAUGCGCAGAUAUCAGGAGGAACACCGAUGGCGAAGGCAGGUCUCUGGGCCACUACUGACGCUGGGAGAAAGCGGAAAAGCAUGGGGGAGCGAAACAGGA